UGGUGGAGUGAUUUGUCUGCUUAAUUGCGAUAACGAACGAGACCUUAACCUGCUAAAUAGCCAGGCUAGCUUUGGCUGGUCGCCGGCUUCUUAGAGGGACUAUGGCCGUUUAGGCCACGGAAGUUUGAGGCAAUAACA
This 138-nucleotide ribosomal RNA is filed under the name uncultured eukaryote. Its description in RNAcentral is "partial 18S ribosomal RNA". It matches the Rfam family "Eukaryotic small subunit ribosomal RNA", at positions 1299 to 1458 of the family's 1831-position model. The record is from RNAcentral.